CAAUCUAACUGUUUGAUUGAUUUCAAAUUUUUUAUAUAUAUUUACAACAAACACAACAACAAAACUCCUUAUUUUCAUUCAUACACAUACUACAAAAUUCACAAAAUCUUAAAAUUUAUAAACUUUUUUUUAUUUUUUUAAAUCUAAAUCCAUUGAAUACAUCAUUAAUUUUGGAAAUCUGUUAAAAUUUCAAUAUUAAUCCAAAUG
RNAcentral lists this long non-coding RNA (207 nucleotides) under Physcomitrium patens. RNAcentral's name for it is "long non-coding RNA (PPAT_LNC014521)". The record is from RNAcentral. Lineage: Eukaryota; Viridiplantae; Streptophyta; Bryopsida; Funariales; Funariaceae.